Molecule: long non-coding RNA, 337 nt
Filed under: Lathyrus oleraceus (garden pea)
Lineage: Eukaryota; Viridiplantae; Streptophyta; Magnoliopsida; Fabales; Fabaceae
Description: Pisum sativum (pea) long non-coding RNA (PSAT_LNC001993)
Source: RNAcentral
AAACUCCAGAUUAAGUCAAAAGACUGAUUCAGAUUCAGCCAGAGGAUCAGAAGAGAAAUAAACAACGCAGUGUAUUUCAGCAUUUUUGUGGUGUUCUCGGAGCGCAAAUUUUCGGUCUGUCUUUGGUAUUCAAUCACAGCUCACCCUGUUUGUCUGAUAAGCUGUUCGCUUUCAUUCUGCUCGGGUUAGCUGAUGACUGAAUAGGGGCAGCUGUAACACCCCAAAAUUUGCCCUCCUGAUUCAUGCAUUCAUUUUUAGGUCAUUUAACAUUUCAUAUUGCAUUUCAUCAUGUCAAUCAGAAUCAGAUCCAAGAAACUUUAUUUAAAAAAUAAAAAAA